Molecule: ribosomal RNA, 2904 nt
Filed under: Escherichia coli
Lineage: Bacteria; Pseudomonadati; Pseudomonadota; Gammaproteobacteria; Enterobacterales; Enterobacteriaceae
Description: 23S ribosomal RNA
Rfam family: Bacterial large subunit ribosomal RNA
Source: RNAcentral
GGUUAAGCGACUAAGCGUACACGGUGGAUGCCCUGGCAGUCAGAGGCGAUGAAGGACGUGCUAAUCUGCGAUAAGCGUCGGUAAGGUGAUAUGAACCGUUAUAACCGGCGAUUUCCGAAUGGGGAAACCCAGUGUGUUUCGACACACUAUCAUUAACUGAAUCCAUAGGUUAAUGAGGCGAACCGGGGGAACUGAAACAUCUAAGUACCCCGAGGAAAAGAAAUCAACCGAGAUUCCCCCAGUAGCGGCGAGCGAACGGGGAGCAGCCCAGAGCCUGAAUCAGUGUGUGUGUUAGUGGAAGCGUCUGGAAAGGCGCGCGAUACAGGGUGACAGCCCCGUACACAAAAAUGCACAUGCUGUGAGCUCGAUGAGUAGGGCGGGACACGUGGUAUCCUGUCUGAAUAUGGGGGGACCAUCCUCCAAGGCUAAAUACUCCUGACUGACCGAUAGUGAACCAGUACCGUGAGGGAAAGGCGAAAAGAACCCCGGCGAGGGGAGUGAAAAAGAACCUGAAACCGUGUACGUACAAGCAGUGGGAGCACGCUUAGGCGUGUGACUGCGUACCUUUUGUAUAAUGGGUCAGCGACUUAUAUUCUGUAGCAAGGUUAACCGAAUAGGGGAGCCGAAGGGAAACCGAGUCUUAACUGGGCGUUAAGUUGCAGGGUAUAGACCCGAAACCCGGUGAUCUAGCCAUGGGCAGGUUGAAGGUUGGGUAACACUAACUGGAGGACCGAACCGACUAAUGUUGAAAAAUUAGCGGAUGACUUGUGGCUGGGGGUGAAAGGCCAAUCAAACCGGGAGAUAGCUGGUUCUCCCCGAAAGCUAUUUAGGUAGCGCCUCGUGAAUUCAUCUCCGGGGGUAGAGCACUGUUUCGGCAAGGGGGUCAUCCCGACUUACCAACCCGAUGCAAACUGCGAAUACCGGAGAAUGUUAUCACGGGAGACACACGGCGGGUGCUAACGUCCGUCGUGAAGAGGGAAACAACCCAGACCGCCAGCUAAGGUCCCAAAGUCAUGGUUAAGUGGGAAACGAUGUGGGAAGGCCCAGACAGCCAGGAUGUUGGCUUAGAAGCAGCCAUCAUUUAAAGAAAGCGUAAUAGCUCACUGGUCGAGUCGGCCUGCGCGGAAGAUGUAACGGGGCUAAACCAUGCACCGAAGCUGCGGCAGCGACGCUUAUGCGUUGUUGGGUAGGGGAGCGUUCUGUAAGCCUGUGAAGGUGUACUGUGAGGUAUGCUGGAGGUAUCAGAAGUGCGAAUGCUGACAUAAGUAACGAUAAAGCGGGUGAAAAGCCCGCUCGCCGGAAGACCAAGGGUUCCUGUCCAACGUUAAUCGGGGCAGGGUGAGUCGACCCCUAAGGCGAGGCCGAAAGGCGUAGUCGAUGGGAAACAGGUUAAUAUUCCUGUACUUGGUGUUACUGCGAAGGGGGGACGGAGAAGGCUAUGUUGGCCGGGCGACGGUUGUCCCGGUUUAAGCGUGUAGGCUGGUUUUCCAGGCAAAUCCGGAAAAUCAAGGCUGAGGCGUGAUGACGAGGCACUACGGUGCUGAAGCAACAAAUGCCCUGCUUCCAGGAAAAGCCUCUAAGCAUCAGGUAACAUCAAAUCGUACCCCAAACCGACACAGGUGGUCAGGUAGAGAAUACCAAGGCGCUUGAGAGAACUCGGGUGAAGGAACUAGGCAAAAUGGUGCCGUAACUUCGGGAGAAGGCACGCUGAUAUGUAGGUGAAGUCCCUUGCGGAUGGAGCUGAAAUCAGUCGAAGAUACCAGCUGGCUGCAACUGUUUAUUAAAAACACAGCACUGUGCAAACACGAAAGUGGACGUAUACGGUGUGACGCCUGCCCGGUGCCGGAAGGUUAAUUGAUGGGGUUAGCGCAAGCGAAGCUCUUGAUCGAAGCCCCGGUAAACGGCGGCCGUAACUAUAACGGUCCUAAGGUAGCGAAAUUCCUUGUCGGGUAAGUUCCGACCUGCACGAAUGGCGUAAUGAUGGCCAGGCUGUCUCCACCCGAGACUCAGUGAAAUUGAACUCGCUGUGAAGAUGCAGUGUACCCGCGGCAAGACGGAAAGACCCCGUGAACCUUUACUAUAGCUUGACACUGAACAUUGAGCCUUGAUGUGUAGGAUAGGUGGGAGGCUUUGAAGUGUGGACGCCAGUCUGCAUGGAGCCGACCUUGAAAUACCACCCUUUAAUGUUUGAUGUUCUAACGUGGACCCGUGAUCCGGGUUGCGGACAGUGUCUGGUGGGUAGUUUGACUGGGGCGGUCUCCUCCUAAAGAGUAACGGAGGAGCACGAAGGUUGGCUAAUCCUGGUCGGACAUCAGGAGGUUAGUGCAAUGGCAUAAGCCAGCUUGACUGCGAGCGUGACGGCGCGAGCAGGUGCGAAAGCAGGUCAUAGUGAUCCGGUGGUUCUGAAUGGAAGGGCCAUCGCUCAACGGAUAAAAGGUACUCCGGGGAUAACAGGCUGAUACCGCCCAAGAGUUCAUAUCGACGGCGGUGUUUGGCACCUCGAUGUCGGCUCAUCACAUCCUGGGGCUGAAGUAGGUCCCAAGGGUAUGGCUGUUCGCCAUUUAAAGUGGUACGCGAGCUGGGUUUAGAACGUCGUGAGACAGUUCGGUCCCUAUCUGCCGUGGGCGCUGGAGAACUGAGGGGGGCUGCUCCUAGUACGAGAGGACCGGAGUGGACGCAUCACUGGUGUUCGGGUUGUCAUGCCAAUGGCACUGCCCGGUAGCUAAAUGCGGAAGAGAUAAGUGCUGAAAGCAUCUAAGCACGAAACUUGCCCCGAGAUGAGUUCUCCCUGACUCCUUGAGAGUCCUGAAGGAACGUUGAAGACGACGACGUUGAUAGGCCGGGUGUGUAAGCGCAGCGAUGCGUUGAGCUAACCGGUACUAAUGAACCGUGAGGCUUAACCUU